Molecule: unclassified non-coding RNA, 419 nt
Filed under: soil metagenome
Description: partial contains 5.8S ribosomal RNA, internal transcribed spacer 2, and large subunit ribosomal RNA
Rfam family: 5.8S ribosomal RNA (bases 1-120)
Source: RNAcentral
GAUGAAGAACGUAGCGAAAUGCGAUACGUAAUGUGAAUUGCAGAAUUCAGUGAAUCAUCGAAUCUUUGAACGCCUAUUGCGCUCUUUGGUAUUCCGAAGAGCAUGCUUGUUUGAGUAUCAGUAAACACCUCAACCUCUUCUUGAUUUUUCAAAAGGAGGGUGGACGAGCUAUCCCAACAACCUUUACCGGUCGGCGGGCGGCUUGAAAUGCAGGUGCAGCUGGACUUUUAUCUGAGCUAAAAGCAUAUCUAUUUAGUCCUCGUCAAACAGGAUUAUUACUUUUGCUGCAGCUAACAUAAAGGAUAAUUGUCCUCUUUGCUGACUGAUGCAGGAUUUUACGACACUUUAUGUGUUGUUCAACUCGAUCUCAAAUCAAGUAAGACUACCCGCUGAACUUAAGCAUAUCAAUAAGCGGAGGA